RNAcentral lists this unclassified non-coding RNA (1319 nucleotides) under Hevea brasiliensis (rubber tree). The record is from RNAcentral. Lineage: Eukaryota; Viridiplantae; Streptophyta; Magnoliopsida; Malpighiales; Euphorbiaceae.
UGAUACAAAUGAUGAAUGGAUAUCCGUUCGAACUGGGAUUCGAAAUCGAAGAAUUCUUUCGGGCAAAGAUAGCUUGAUUUCUCUAUCUGUGGAGGCAGCUAGGAAGGCUCUUCAGAUGGCAGAGGUGGAGCCUGAUGAUGUGGAUCUAAUCUUGAUGUGCACAUCUACUCCAGAGGAUCUUUUUGGUAGUGCUCCUCAGGUAUGAGGUUACAAAAUGUGCAUAUCCCUAAAUUUACUGUAGACGGAUAUACAGUGGUUCUCAUAUUUGAUAUUAGCUUUAUGGAUUCACUUUUCCUUUUAGUCUGAGUAAUGCUGUGCAUGUGGUGGACUGUUGCAAAAAAAGGGCUUUUGUUCACACAUUAGAAUAGCCAUGUGCAGUUGUACUUUUUUAUGUGAAUCUCUGAAUAUAUAUUGAACUAUUGAUGUGUUUACCAUUUAUAUUGUUUACUGCUUUUGGUUUUUUAUGUACUACCCAUAUCUAGAUGUAUCAUUAUUUUAUUAGCUGACAUUUUAGUUUGAUUCUAAAUGCAUAUUCAGAAUUCAGAAGAGCUUCCAUUAAUGCUGAAUUUUGGGUAAUUUUUGGAUUUAGCUUCACUUGUAUAUCAGUCUAGUCUACAACUCCAAUCUUUGCUCUAGCAGUAACAACCUCCAAAAUCCUCUAUGUUUCUCAUUGCAACUUGGUGGCUCAUAUUACUGGAUCACACAUUGAAAUGUCUUUGCGUAGGAAGUUAGUUGAUAAUUUUGGUUUGCCAUAAUGUUGCAAAGAAAAUGAGUCUUAUUAUCCUAUUUUUGGUCUCAAAACCAUUAAAACUCAUAAUUCAUUUGUGGAUGAUUUCUAGCCAGGGGUGAGCACUUAACGGUUUUAGCCGAAAAACUGAACCAAACCGAUUUAAUUUGUUUUUCAGUUUGAUUUUUUAUUUAAUUGGUUCGGCAUCAGUUUAAGAUUUUAUGAUAGUUUGGUUGUUGGUUUGGUUCCGUUUUUUAACCAAAAAAUCAUAAAAAAAACCGAGUUGACUGAAUUUUAACUUUGUACCAAAGUGUUGUCCUUUUUAUGGUGGUAUAAAUCCACAUAUCCCUAAGAGGUCUUUUGUUUUCUUCUCUUAUAUAUUCUCAGAAUCUCAGUCACAUAAACUGAGAAACCUGACUCCCUCCCUCGCAGACCCUCACUUUCCUGUCUCCUUCACUUUGCUUUGCUUCCCUCGGUGUCAUCGCUUCAACCACCCAUGACCCAUCCUCCCAUUUUCUUUGUUUUCAUCUCCUUCACAAAGACCCUUUUUGUUUCAUCUUCCCUCGGUAUCAUCUCCUUCAUGAAAACUCUC